AUACGUAGGUGGCAAGCGUUGUCCGGAAUUACUGGGUGUAAAGGGUGCGUAGGCGGAUCUGCAAGUCAGGCGUGAAAACUAUCGGCUCAACCGGUAGCCUGCGUUUGAAACUGUGGAUCUUGAGUGGCGAAGAGGUAAGCGGAAUUCCUAGUGUAGCGGUGAAAUGCGUAGAUAUUAGGAGGAACACCAGUGGCGAAGGCGGCUUACUGGGCGCUAACUGACGCUGAGGCACGAAAGCAUGGGGAGCAAACAGGAUUAGAUACCCUGGUAGUCCAUGCCGUAAACGAUGAUUACUAGGUGUAGGGGGUAUCGACCCCCCCUGUGCCGGAGUUAACACAAUAAGUAAUCCACCUGGGGAGUACGGCCGCAAGGUUGAA
RNAcentral lists this ribosomal RNA (377 nucleotides) under uncultured bacterium. RNAcentral's name for it is "bacterial SSU rRNA". It matches the Rfam family "Bacterial small subunit ribosomal RNA", at positions 523 to 898 of the family's 1533-position model. The record is from RNAcentral.